UACAUGGGGUGCAAACGUUGCUCGGAAUUAUUGGGCGUAAAGCGCACGUAGGCGGUUCGUUAAGUCGGAUGUGAAAGCCCUCGGCUCAACUGAGGAAGUGCACCCGAAACUGGCGAGCUUGAGUACGAAAGAGGAUCGCGGAAUUCCUGGUGUAGCGGUGAAAUGCGCAGAUAUCAGGAGGAACACCAGCGGCGAAGGCGGCGCUCUGGGCCGGAACUGACGCUGGAG
RNAcentral lists this ribosomal RNA (228 nucleotides) under uncultured bacterium. Its description in RNAcentral is "partial 16S ribosomal RNA". It matches the Rfam family "Bacterial small subunit ribosomal RNA", at positions 524 to 751 of the family's 1533-position model. The record is from RNAcentral.